Molecule: transfer RNA, 73 nt
Filed under: Crassvirales sp.
Lineage: Duplodnaviria; Heunggongvirae; Uroviricota; Caudoviricetes; Crassvirales
Description: tRNA-Met
Rfam family: tRNA
About the family: Transfer RNA (tRNA) molecules are approximately 80 nucleotides in length. Their secondary structure includes four short double-helical elements and three loops (D, anti-codon, and T loops). Further hydrogen bonds mediate the characteristic L-shaped molecular structure. tRNAs have two regions of fundamental functional importance: the anti-codon, which is responsible for specific mRNA codon recognition, and the 3' end, to which the tRNAs corresponding amino acid is attached (by aminoacyl-tRNA synthetases). tRNAs cope with the degeneracy of the genetic code in two manners: having more than one tRNA (with a specific anti-codon) for a particular amino acid; and 'wobble' base-pairing, i.e. permitting non-standard base-pairing at the 3rd anti-codon position.
Source: RNAcentral
UGUGGGGUAGAGCAGUUGGUAGCUUAUCAGGCUCAUAACCUGAGGGUCGGAGGUUCGAGUCCUUCCCCCGCAA